CGACGCCGCGGUGGGGAGUGAAGUCUUUCGGAGUGUAAACCCUUUCGACCCGGACGAAAACCUCGCAAGAGGAUUGACGGUACGGGUAUAAGAAGUCCGGCUAACUACGUGU
This 112-nucleotide ribosomal RNA is filed under the name uncultured bacterium. RNAcentral's name for it is "partial 16S ribosomal RNA". The record is from RNAcentral.